AUUACCUUUGGUCUGGCUCAGCCUGCACAGGUGAUGGAAGCUGGAUUCCCCUGCAUGGAGUGGGCUGGCCAAGGAAUAAGGUGAAAAAAUCACACAACACAGAAAAUAGUUUUAAAGAGUAGGGGCAGGAUAGCUCUUCAACCUUAAGGGUCGAGCUUCCAUGCUAGAAAGAGCAAGAGCCCACGUUUGCUUUCUUUAUUUGGGAGAACUUCAAAGGCUUUCUACAGAAUGUUCUUAGCCAAUUAAGGUAGGAGGUGGGCUGCCCAGUUCCCACUGGGUCACGCUCAACUCUAUAGCUAGGAGAUCAGUCUUCCUGGCCUAGUGAAGACAGAGGUCCUGUACAUUGCCCAAUCCAUUAAGUGGGAGGAGCCACAAAAUAGCUUGCAAUGCCAAACCAAAAUCUCUUUGGCUCCAAGGCCCAGUGAAGAUGCUCAAAUAACUCAGGAGUGGCUCCCCACACUUUGGAUUUGUCAGUGUAACUCAGCAACAGAGCACUUGCUGAGCUUGUUAGAGAUCGUGGGUUGAUCCACAGCACUGGGGGAAAAAAGUUACAAUGCCCGAAUUUUUUUUUCCUUGUACUGGGAAUUGAACCCUGGGAUACUGUGCCACUGAUUCUGAGAAAAGGUUUCACUAAAUAGCUGAGGCUGCUCUUGAACUUGCAGUCCUCUUGCUUCAGCCUCCCAAAUUACUGGGAUUACAUACAUGCCACAGUACCUAGUCAAUGGCACAUUUUAUAUAUUAUUACAGGUUUUUAAAAGAAAAGACCAGGUGCAGUAGUGCAUACUUAUAAUCCCAACACUCAGGAAGCUGAGGCUGGAAGAUCACUUGAUCCAAGAGUUCAGGGGCAGCUGGGGUAACAGAAUAAGACUUUCUAAAAAAAAAAAAAAGAAAGAAAGAAAAGAAAGAAAUGUAUUGUACUUAACAAAGUGCACCAACCUUAAGUAUACAGAUUGCCAAUUACUGCUGUGAUAGUCAAGCCAAAGUUACUCCAUUUUGUUUAGUAACUCCAUGUUGUAAAACAACCAUGCCAAGUAGAAGGGUCAUGACCAGGACAAGAUGUUCUUUUCCUUUUGCUGUAGAAACCUUUAAGAACACAGAACUACCUAAUUGGGGCAUUGUCUCUGUAACUAGGUAAUGGGGCUCUGUUUCUGUAACUGGGAUGACUGGGCUAAUUGUGGUUGGCUAAGCAUCCCGCCACCUGACUGUACUCUCCUGCUUCUGUAACCUUGCUUGUUUGCAUUGGCUGGACCCCCAAACAUCCCUCUUGCAGUUUUCAGGCUUAUAAGGAGCACCCUUGCAAUUGUUUGGGGCUGAUCAGGGGAACAGCUUUAUGUUCUGGUCAGUCGCCACUGGUGUGCUUCAAUAAAGGCUUGAUUUGAUUAUACAUGAGUGGUCUGGAAGUCAAUUUAUGAAACCCCG
RNAcentral lists this long non-coding RNA (1419 nucleotides) under Marmota monax (woodchuck). The record is from RNAcentral. Lineage: Eukaryota; Metazoa; Chordata; Mammalia; Rodentia; Sciuridae.